UACAGAGGGUGCGAGCGUUAAUCGGAAUUACUGGGCGUAAAGCGUGCGUAGACGGUUAUUUAAGUCGGGUGUGAAAGCCCCGGGCUCAACCUGGGAAUUGCAUUCGAGACUGAAUAGCUAGGGUACGGUAGAGGGAAGCGGAAUUUCCGGUGUAGCGGUGAAAUGCGUAGAUAUCGGAAGGAACAUCUGUGGCGAAGGCGACACCCUGGACCAGCACUGACACUGAGGCACGAAAGCGUGGGGAGCAAACAGG
Molecule: ribosomal RNA, 253 nt
Filed under: uncultured bacterium
Lineage: Bacteria
Description: partial 16S ribosomal RNA
Rfam family: Bacterial small subunit ribosomal RNA
Source: RNAcentral